Molecule: long non-coding RNA, 3991 nt
Filed under: Mus musculus (house mouse)
Lineage: Eukaryota; Metazoa; Chordata; Mammalia; Rodentia; Muridae
Description: small nucleolar RNA host gene 14
Rfam family: Small nucleolar RNA SNORD116 (bases 1-93)
Source: RNAcentral
GAUCUAUGAUGAUUCCCAGUCAAACAUUCCUUGGAAAAGCUGAACAAAAUGAGUGAAAACUCUGUACCGCCACUCUCAUCGGAACUGAGGUCCAGCAUCCUGGGUCUCCCAGGUGCUAUGGGCGUCAGGCACAGGCUGCCCAACCACUCCAUGUUCUUGAGUUCUUUGGGCUCUAGCCAGACUCUCCAGAGACAGGUGUGUGCUUGGCCUACUCUGCCAAAAAUCCAUGGCAGAGGACACAGCAGGUCUUUAAGCUCUGGUGGCUUGCUCCCUUUGCUGUAGUGGAGAUGCUUGGCAGAUAAUCAGUAGGUAGUCGUGCUAGGUCCAAGGAGAAGGCCCCAGCCAUUGUGGAAAGUAGACUGUGAGGCAAAAAUAGCAGUGGCAGUGGCACCAAAUCUUGGCUUUUCACAUGGGAAUAUCAAGCAGUGGACUCAAGCUUCUCAGAAGCACUUAUAUGAAUUUUAACCCUGUUGCAUUGCUUUACAUAGUAAUAGAAUGCACGCUGCUGGUAGAGUGUAGCUUGACCAGUAGCAUGUAAAAGAGACUGUGUGACUGUUGUCAGUUCAGUUGGUGAACAGAAGUCUCUGUGUCCCUGGCAGCUUGGAAGUUUCCCCGGGCGAUUGGCUAGGAAAUAGAGAAGGAGCUAAGCCUUGGAGGUGAUGGCAGGCACCUCAAGGGUCAGUUUGCACCACAUUUACACACUUACCUGUGUCUGUAGAUGGAUGAAACUUUGAUGGACUCGCUGGGAGCAUGAGACUUGCAGACCUGUGUCUCGAUAGAUUUGUUGAAAUAACUUUUGUAGGAAUCUCCUCUUUGGUAUGUGCUGUUGCUUUGGAUGUUGUUGAAGGGAUAUCCUUGGUAUAUUUGGACAUUGUUGUCAGCCUCCUUGGCAAGGUCAAAGGGAAAGUCUAGGAACAGUUCUUGCACCCACAGCCUUAGGAGAACCAUCUUGGUGAGAGACCCUCUAAAUUAGAGACCAAGGUGUCAUGGGACCUUUCUUUUCGAUGUUUUGGCCUAACUCUUCUGGAAAGACAAGUUGCUAGUGUGCAUAGGAAGGAGGUUUCAACAGGGCACAUCGUGUUUUGCAAAUCCACCUUGAGAGCCAUGCUCAUGGGAAUCAUCAGGGAGAAAAUAAGUUCUUGGGUGCAGACUGCAUUUGACACACUAAGAUAACUUGAGUCAAGUUGGAUCCUGGCCUGUGAUAGUUCUGCACAAUGAAAUUUUCUUUAGUGUGAGAAGCUAAGCAGUAUAGUCUGAGAAGUUUUCACCAGAAAAGAUCAAAGCAGGGGUGGAUGGCCAAAAGCAAUCUCAUGAGAGAGGUGGAAGUCUUCACAACAGACAAAAUGAGCACUGGACAGGAGGACAGAAAUAGGGACUGGCUGCCACAGCAAGGAAUGUCUCAGGGUAAAAGACACACACACACACACACACACACACACACACACACACAUUAACACAGAGAAUGGGAGAGAGUGGGGGGUUCCUUUCAGCUGUGAAAAUGAAGCCUGCUUCCCAUGAGCUGGAAUUCUGAACUCUCAGAGGAGUUUGAUUUUACCUCAUGCAAUGACCCAGAAGUAAUGAUCAGAGAAGGACUGGAGCCAUGAUUGAAGGCUCAAAAGUUGUUGGCUUAGAUAUCCUUGGAGGCCCAAUUUUGCUGGUGAACUUAUUCAGAGCUGCCUCCUCCUUCUUCGUCAGCAUAGGCAAGGGGACCUAUGAUUGCCCUUGUUAUUGACUUUUUCUGACUGGAUGCUUGGAGAAGAGCCUUCAUUCCCUUGAAAACUUUGCUCAGGACACUGGUGGAGGAAGUUGAUGGCAUGGACCUAAGAGAAAGUGUUGAGUACCUGUAUUGCAGCUCACAUAUCAUCCUUCAGUCCUUAGAGUGACCUGAGGACCCAGCAAACACUUGAGAGCAAAGGGCAUGGCACGAUCACAUCCAAGGCCUGAGAGUAACAGCAAGUGAGAUCUGGAAGAGCAGUGUGAAGAGGGUUGCAUUCCCUUUCCAGUAUGGUCCAUGGAAAACAUGCAGAGGAAAUGGCCCCACAGCAUUGGCUGAGUGUUUAUAUCUUCCAACCGAGUCUCCAUCGAACUGUUGUGGUGUUGCUGACUUGGCCUAGGUCACCUGAGUUAAAAGGGUUGCAUUCCCUUUCCAGUAUGGUCCAUGGAAAACAUGCAGAGGAAAUGGCCCCACAGCAUUGGCUGAGUGUUUAUGUCAUCCAACCGAGUCUCCAUCGAACUGUUGUGGUGUUGCUGACUUGCCCUAGGUCACUUGAGUUAAAUGAGAUGCAUUCCUUUUCCUUCAUGGGCCAUGAGUGACAUCCAGAGAAAGUGUCACCACAACACUGGACAAAAGUUGAUGAUAUCUGAAUGAGCUACCAGUAAACCCCCCCCUUUUUUUGCUGUUAUUGCCUUGCCUGAGGAAAAGCGAGUUAAAAGAUGAUACCUACAGUGAUGAGUUGGAGUUAUAGAUGGUGCCAUUUCUUCUACCAGCAGCUUCACCAAAACAAUCUCCAUUAUACAUGCUGAUGCCUCUUUCCUGUGUAGCAGCAGACACCACCUGCAGAUAAGAAAUGCUUAAGUGAGAAAUGCUCAUUUUGGGAUAUCAUCGCUGAAACUAUAAUUUGGGCAUGGUGACUGUUUCCCUUGCUGCCACUUGACUCAAUCUCAGAAGUUUAAUAGAUCAAAUAAUAUUGUACAAUAUGCUCAAAAUGGUGGAAGUAAUUAGUGCUCCUAUAAAUAUAUAUUGACAAUUUAAAUAUAACAUAUUAAAAAUAAAAUGCAUGAUUAAACAAACCUGAAUGCAUACUUAUAUAAUUAAUACAUAAAAUAUGUGCUGCCUCUUUUUUGAAGGCUAUCCCCAUAGUUUCUCUCUGUUAAGAGAAGGAUAUACAUGCUUUUAAGCAAUAAAUAUACAAGCAGAUACACAUACUGUCUGGUGGGGGCACUUCUAGUAGUAAUGCCAUAUUAUUAUGCAAAUUGCUACUUUUGUUUGAGUCUUUUUGAUGAGCUUUUGCUACUAUGUCAUUUAUUGAAUGACUAUAUGACUGUUUUGUAGAUGAAAUAGAAUUAAAUAUUUUAAAUAUUGCUUAUACAUGCAUUUAUAUAGGUGCUAAUUUUCUGUGCAAUAGACUUCCGUAUAUAUUAACAUUUAUGCAUUCAUCUCCUCUAUUAAAGUAAAUUUACCUAGAACACAAAUUAUUGAAAUUAAGUAUAUUGACACUUAAUAUUUUUAUAAUUGUUAUGAUUCCUUUAAGAAUGUGCUUGAAGAGCUUUCUUGUAAGAAUCAAUGAAUUAGAUUGCCCAAUUUUUCAAAAUACAAUUAUGGUAGAUUUUACAAAUGAUUGAGAUCCUUUCCAGUGUGUUAGCCCAAAUUGUUGCUCUGACUUGUAUUUAUUUUAUUUUUGAGUUUGAUCAUUUUCAUGUUUAAUAGCCAUCUGUAUUAUUUUAAUUUCCUAUUUAUCUCAAAACUUGGGAGUAUUUAGUCUCUUUAAUGAUCUUAUAGUAUUUGGGAAAGAUAAGAUUUUGGAUUGUCAAACAUUACAUGUUUGUCACACUUUUAAACUUUGUUUUGUUAUCAGAAUGCGUAUUAUUCUUACAUGUCCAAAUAUAACCAUGUUUGCUUUUAUGGCUUCUGAGUUUCAUGUCAUUUAAAAAAAUAUUCUGAACCCAUAAAGCUUUUCACCUAUGUUAAUUCUAAUUAUUUUGUGUUUUUUAAAGUCAAAUUCUUAUGUCAUGAAAAAAAUUUUAUUUUGAAAUCUUACAGUUGCGAAGUUAUUUGCCAUUACUUAUAAUUAUUUGCCAAUAAUUGCCCACUUAUCUGUAAUGCCAUCUUGCAUAUGUGCUGUAUUCUCAUCCAUGAAUGGCUCCAUUUUUGUUUUGUGGAUAUGUGUGUCUCUUCUCCCUUCUGUCUCAUGUGUCUUCUUGUUGGAAGAAGUUACAGUAUAGACUGUAAUUUCAUCAAUCUUAAUAAAUUAAUCUGGGAAAAACUUGUUUU